This 73-nucleotide transfer RNA is filed under the name Pseudocalotes microlepis (Burmese false bloodsucker). RNAcentral describes it as "tRNA-Trp". The record is from RNAcentral. Lineage: Eukaryota; Metazoa; Chordata; Lepidosauria; Squamata; Agamidae.
AGGUACUUAGGAUAACACUCAAACCGGAGACCUUCAAAGUCACAGACAAGAGUAUCCACCCUCUUAGUACCUG